RNAcentral lists this ribosomal RNA (480 nucleotides) under Streptomyces sp. Its description in RNAcentral is "bacterial SSU rRNA". It matches the Rfam family "Bacterial small subunit ribosomal RNA", at positions 100 to 593 of the family's 1533-position model. Lineage: Bacteria; Bacillati; Actinomycetota; Actinomycetes; Kitasatosporales; Streptomycetaceae. The record is from RNAcentral.
GAACGGGUGAGUAACACGUGGGCAAUCUGCCCUUCACUCUGGGACAAGCCCUGGAAACGGGGUCUAAUACCGGAUACUGACCCUCGCAGGCAUCUGCGAGGUUCGAAAGCUCCGGCGGUGAAGGAUGAGCCCGCGGCCUAUCAGCUUGUUGGUGAGGUAAUGGCUCACCAAGGCGACGACGGGUAGCCGGCCUGAGAGGGCGACCGGCCACACUGGGACUGAGACACGGCCCAGACUCCUACGGGAGGCAGCAGUGGGGAAUAUUGCACAAUGGGCGAAAGCCUGAUGCAGCGACGCCGCGUGAGGGAUGACGGCCUUCGGGUUGUAAACCUCUUUCAGCAGGGAAGAAGCGAAAGUGACGGUACCUGCAGAAGAAGCGCCGGCUAACUACGUGCCAGCAGCCGCGGUAAUACGUAGGGCGCAAGCGUUGUCCGGAAUUAUUGGGCGUAAAGAGCUCGUAGGCGGCUUGUCACGUCGGUU